RNAcentral lists this long non-coding RNA (529 nucleotides) under Daucus carota (carrot). Its description in RNAcentral is "long non-coding RNA (DCAR_LNC006900)". Lineage: Eukaryota; Viridiplantae; Streptophyta; Magnoliopsida; Apiales; Apiaceae. The record is from RNAcentral.
UCUCGUCGUUUUGGUAUAUUAUAUGUUGAAUUUUGAGUCCAGAAACAUAUAGAAAAGUCCGUUUGAUUAUUUGGUUGUGUUCUUCGUUGUUCUUGAAUGUUCUUAAUCAGAAUUUGGGGGAUUUUGUUCGGGGGAUUCUUGAUGAAAUUGGAAGAUGCAGGCAUGUUCUUGAGGUCAUAAGGAGUUGUUUCAUGUGUUUAAAUCGUGUGUGGGAGGCUGGGAAGAACCUCGUCGGAGUUUCGAAGGAAACUCGACGGCGGCUUGAAUUUUCAAGCUUUUUCCGGCCAAUCCUUGCGUGAUCUGUUGAAUAUGAGGGCAUGGUGAUGUUCCUAGUAGUGUAAAGAAGUUAUUUGGAGGUUUUGGUGUUGAACGGAGGUUUGCAGCGCCGUUUCCGGCGAAACCAGCGGUGGCCGGCGGCAAAUUGCCGUUUGGUCACCGAACUCGUGAAGGUGGUGAAGUUACGAUACCCAGGUUUCAAAACUGACAAAACAGCCCCUGUAACUUCUGAAAGUUACAGUUUAAACCUUGG